RNAcentral lists this non-coding RNA (30 nucleotides) under Homo sapiens (human). Lineage: Eukaryota; Metazoa; Chordata; Mammalia; Primates; Hominidae. The record is from RNAcentral.
UCCAAAUCCUGAAGCAAAAUGAGCCUUCUU